AGUAUUACGCCGGAUGAACGGAAAUCAUUGAUGUUGAUUAACAUGGGGAAAGUAAUUCCUCUAAUACUA
Molecule: transfer RNA, 69 nt
Filed under: Eubela sp. MNHN IM 2013-9671
Lineage: Eukaryota; Metazoa; Mollusca; Gastropoda; Neogastropoda; Raphitomidae
Description: tRNA-Ile
Source: RNAcentral